UACGUAGGGAGCAAGCGUUAUCCGGAUUUACUGGGUGUAAAGGGCGUGUAGGCGGGAUGGUAAGUCAGAUGUGAAAACUAUGGGCUCAACCCAUAGCCUGCAUUUGAAACUAUCGUUCUUGAGUGUUGGAGAGGCAGGCGGAAUUCCUGGUGUAGCGGUGAAAUGCGUAGAUAUCAGGAGGAACACCGGCGGCGAAGGCGGCCUGCUGGACUGAAACUGACGUUGAGGCUCGAAAGCGUGGGGAGCAAACAGG
This 253-nucleotide ribosomal RNA is filed under the name uncultured Oscillospira sp. Its description in RNAcentral is "partial 16S ribosomal RNA". It matches the Rfam family "Bacterial small subunit ribosomal RNA", at positions 524 to 776 of the family's 1533-position model. The record is from RNAcentral. Lineage: Bacteria; Bacillati; Bacillota; Clostridia; Eubacteriales; Oscillospiraceae.